GAAUAUUGGACAAUGGGGGGAACCCUGAUCCAGCCAUGCCGCGUGUGUGAAGAAGGCCUUUUGGUUGUAAAGCACUUUAAGCGAGGAGGAGGCUCCUCUAGUUAAUACUUAGAGAGAGCGGACGUCACGCGAAGAAUACGCACCGGCUAACUCUGUGCCAGCAGCCGCGGUAAUACAGAGGGUGCAAGCGUUAAUCGGAUUUACUGGGCGUAAAGCGCGCGUAGGUGGCCAAUUAAGUCAAAUGUGAGAUCCCCGAGCUUAACUUGGGAAUUGCAUUCGAUACUGGUUGGCUAGAGUAUGGGAGAGGAUGGUAGAAUUCCAGGUGUAGCGGUGAAAUGCGUAGAGAUCUGGAGGAAUACCGAUGGCGAAGGCAGCCAUCUGGCCUAAUACUGACACUGAGGUGCGAAAGCAUGGGGAGCAAACA
Molecule: ribosomal RNA, 424 nt
Filed under: uncultured bacterium
Lineage: Bacteria
Description: bacterial SSU rRNA
Rfam family: Bacterial small subunit ribosomal RNA
Source: RNAcentral